Molecule: ribosomal RNA, 253 nt
Filed under: uncultured bacterium
Lineage: Bacteria
Description: partial 16S ribosomal RNA
Rfam family: Bacterial small subunit ribosomal RNA
Source: RNAcentral
UACGAAGGGGGCUAGCGUUGUUCGGAUUUACUGGGCGUAAAGCGCACGUAGGCGGAUCGUUAAGUCGGGGGUGGAAUCCUGGAGCUCAACUCCAGAACUGCCUUCGAUACUGGCGAUCUCGAGUCCGGAAGAGGUGAGUGGAACUCCUAGUGUAGAGGUGGAAUUCGUAGAUAUUAGGAAGAACACCAGUGGCGAAGGCGGCUCACUGGUCCGGUACUGACGCUGAGGUGCGAAAGCGUGGGGAGCAAACAGG